GGGGCUGUAGCUUAGUGGUAGAAUGCUCGCCUUGCAUGUGGGAGGCACCAUGUUCGAUCCUCAGCACCA
This 69-nucleotide transfer RNA is filed under the name Marmota monax (woodchuck). RNAcentral describes it as "tRNA.Ala". Lineage: Eukaryota; Metazoa; Chordata; Mammalia; Rodentia; Sciuridae. The record is from RNAcentral.